RNAcentral lists this ribosomal RNA (113 nucleotides) under Oreochromis niloticus (Nile tilapia). Its description in RNAcentral is "partial 16S ribosomal RNA". Lineage: Eukaryota; Metazoa; Chordata; Actinopteri; Cichliformes; Cichlidae. The record is from RNAcentral.
CGCCCAAUAGCUAGCCCACCCAUCAACCCCAAACCCACCCUAUCUCUACCCCCAAACACACCACCACACAACAAACAAACCAUUUUUCCACCUAAGUACGGGCGACGAAAAAG